GCAGUCGAGCGGACCGACGGGAGCUUGCUCCCUUAGGUCAGCGGCGGACGGGCGGACUAACACGUGGGUAACCUGCCUGUAAGACUGGGAUAACUCGAGGGAAACCGGGGCUAAUACCGGAUGCUUGAUUGAACCGCAUGGUUCAAUCAUAAAAGGUGGCUUUUAGCUACCACUUGCAGAUGGACCCGCGGCGCAUUAGCUAGUUGGUGAGGUAACGGCUCACCAAGGCGACGAUGCGUAGCCGACCUGAGAGGGUGAUCGGCCACACUGGGACUGAGACACGGCCCAGACUCCUACGGGAGGCAGCAGUAGGGAAUCUUCCGCAAUGGACGAAAGUCUGACGGAGCAACGCCGCGUGAGUGAUGAAGGUUUUCGGAUCGUAAAACUCUGUUGUUAGGGAAGAACAAGUACCGUUCGAAUAGGGCGGYACCUUGACGGUACCUAACCAGAAAGCCACGGCUAACUACGUGCCAGCAGCCGCGGUAAUACGUAGGUGGCAAGCGUUGUCCGGAAUUAUUGGGCGUAAAGCGCGCGCAGGCGGUUUCUUAAGUCUGAUGUGAAAGCCCCCGGCUCAACCGGGGAGGGUCAUUGGAAACUGGGGAACUUGAGUGCAGAAGAGGAGAGUGGAAUUCCACGUGUAGCGGUGAAAUGCGUAGAGAUGUGGAGGAACACCAGUGGCGAAGGCGACUCUCUGGUCUGUAACUGAC
Molecule: ribosomal RNA, 707 nt
Filed under: Bacillus licheniformis
Lineage: Bacteria; Bacillati; Bacillota; Bacilli; Caryophanales; Bacillaceae
Description: bacterial SSU rRNA
Source: RNAcentral